CAAAGAUUAGUUUAAUAAAAUAUUAGACUUGGGGUCUAAAGUUAUGUUAGUUAAUUAGUGUAUCUUUGA
RNAcentral lists this transfer RNA (69 nucleotides) under Styela plicata. Its description in RNAcentral is "transfer RNA-Pro". The record is from RNAcentral. Lineage: Eukaryota; Metazoa; Chordata; Ascidiacea; Stolidobranchia; Styelidae.